Molecule: ribosomal RNA, 1058 nt
Filed under: Protomycocladus faisalabadensis
Lineage: Eukaryota; Fungi; Mucoromycota; Mucoromycetes; Mucorales; Syncephalastraceae
Description: SSU rRNA
Rfam family: Eukaryotic small subunit ribosomal RNA
Source: RNAcentral
CAUUAUACCUUACUACUGGAUAACCGUGGUAAUUCUAGAGCUAAUACAUACACUAAAAUCUUGGCUUCGGCCCGGAUGUAUUUAUUAGUUACAAAACCAAUACAGGGUUAAACCUGUUUUUUGGUGAAUCAUAAUAAUUCUUGCUUUGACGGAUCGCGUAUAGCGACGUUGCAUAUCAUUUUCUGCCCUAUCACCGCUUUGGAUUGUACGGUAGUGGCGUACGAAUGGUUAUAACGGGUAACGGGGAAUAAGGGUUCGAUUCCGGAGAGGGAGCCUGAGAAACGGCUACCACAUCCAAGGAAGGCAGCAGGCGCGCAAAUUACCCAAUUCCGACACGGAGAGGUAGUGACAAUAAAUAACAAUGCAGGGCCUUAUGGUCUUGCAAUUGGAAUGAGUACAAUUUAAAUCCCAUAACGAGGAUCCAUUGGAGGGCAAGUCUGGUGCCAGCAGCCGCGGUAAUUCCAGCUCCAAUAGCGUAUAUCAAAGUUGCUGCAGUUAAAACGUCCGUAGUCGAAGUUUAGUCUUGGAUGCUGUGCUAUAGGCUUCAUUGUCUAUGGUUUCAGUUAUCUAGACUCGUUAGUUCUGCUUCUUUCUACCUCGGUAGUUGGAUCAGACCAUACCCAUGAGCAAAUCAGAGUGUUUAAAGCAGGCUUUAUGCCGGAAUGUUGGAGCAUGGAAUAAUGAAAUAUGACAUUGUUGGUCUAUAUUUCGUUGGUUUUAAGACCAAUAUGUAAUGAUGAAGAGAAACGGUUGGGGGCAUUUGGAUUUGGUCGCUAGAGGUGAAAUUCUUGGAUUGACCAAAGACAAACAUAGGCGAAAGCAAUUGACCCAGGACGUUUUCAUUGAUCAAGGUCGAAAGUUAAGGGAUCGAAGACGAUUAGAUACCGUCGUAGUCUUAUACCACAAACGUUGCCGACUAGUGAUCAGACAUGACCGAUUGAGGCGUGUUUGGGAACUAAGCGAAAGUAAAGUUUUUGGGCUCUGGGGGGAGUAUUGUCGCAAGGCUGAAACUUAAAGGAAUUGACGGAAGGGCACCACCAGGAGUGGAGCCUGCGGCU